RNAcentral lists this unclassified non-coding RNA (4925 nucleotides) under Hevea brasiliensis (rubber tree). The record is from RNAcentral. Lineage: Eukaryota; Viridiplantae; Streptophyta; Magnoliopsida; Malpighiales; Euphorbiaceae.
GGAUUGAAAAGCUACUCCGCAGGAAUCCCAAAUUUCCCAUAUUGAAUGCCCAAAUUACCCUUGAUGAAUGCCCAAAUUUCUGGCAGUGACGAUGAGAAAUAUCGUAAAUAAAUGCUAACAAUGGACAGAUACCAUGUGAUGAUGAAACCCAGUACACCCUCUUCUUUAAAAUCUUCGCCUAUAAAUAAAAGGCAUUUACAACACUAAGGGUACGGCGGGGACUCGUCUGGUGUCAUUGUCCAGCUUCAGAUGGCUGUAGUGCGAGCGAGGUGGGUCAAGGUAGGUCGUCUCUUUCUCUCUGUUCUGGAAUUCUUCUCGUAAUCGUGAUUUUCGGGAAUUCAAAUUCUUGUUAUUUUCUGUCAGUUUGGUGACUUUCUUGAAUCUUUUUUUAUUUCCAAAACCUCAAAUUCUUGAAAUGGGUUCGGGGUUUUUCAAUUUUGCACGAGAAAUUUAUGGCUAAAUUAUCCUUAGAUUGAUGGUUUUGUUCUCUGCAUGUCUCAGCUUGAUCAGAACGGACCUGGUCCUGGAGCAAGGAGCUCACAUGCAAUUACCCUUGUAGGUCACAAGGCCUAUGCAUUUGGUGGCGAGUUCACGCCUCGUGUCCCCGUUGACAACAACAUUCAUGCCUUUGAUCUCCAGACCCAGACAUGGUCUGUCCUCCAAGUCACCGGUGACAUUCCUCCGCCGCGGGUUGGUGUCACAAUGGCCGCUGUCGACAAAACUAUAUAUGUAUUUGGUGGCAGGGACGCUACACACAAGGAGCUGAACGAGCUCUACUCUUUUGACACAUUUACAAACAAGUGGACUCUACUAUCUACUGGCGACACCGGCCCUGCUCACCGGAGUUACCAUUCAACCGCCUCUGAUGAUCGACACGUGUAUGUCUUUGGCGGUUGUGGUGUUUCGGGUCGAUUAAAUGAUCUGUGGGCUUAUGAUGUGGUGGAAGAGAAAUGGGUCCAGUAUCCAACAGCAGGGGAAAAUUGCAGAGGCAGAGGUGGACCUGGGCUGGCCGUAGCCCAAGGAAAAAUAUGGGUUGUUUAUGGUUUCGCCGGAGAGGAGACGGAUGAUGUGCAUUGCUUUGAUCCGGCGGACGGGAAGUGGGAGCAAGUGGAGAUAAGUGGCGAGAAACCAACGGCUAGAAGUGUAUUUUCAACUGUUGGGAUUGGAAAAUACAUAAUCAUAUAUGGUGGGGAAGUGGAUCCCAGUGACUUGGGGCAUCUGGGUGCCGGGAAGUUCACCAGCGAAGUUUGGGCGCUGGACACGGAGGCUUUAAGGUGGCAGAAGGUGGAUGAUGGGUUGGGGGCAGAGAACCAUCCAGGGCCAAGAGGGUGGUGUGCAUUUGGUUCGGGUAAGUUGAAUGGGAAAGAGGGGCUUUUGGUGUAUGGUGGGAACUCUCCGAGCAAUGAUCGGCUGGAUGAUAUUUUCUUCCUCAGUUGUUGCCUUGAUGCAAAUGAAAACGACUAAAGGAGUAUUUUUGUAAUUAUGAGUGGUUUGUUUAGAGUAUGUGUUUGUCUGUGAGCGUGAGUGAAUAAUAAUUGGGGUUUUUACUAAAAACUCCCUGGGGUUAGACUAAAAUUAUAAGUGUAGCAUUUUUUUUUUUAAUUUAUAAUAAUUUCCUAAGCAAGCUUGUUAUUCGAUUCUUGAUUUCUAUGAUUUCUCCACAUACUGAAUAGGUUUUGUUACUACAACAUAAUGUUCUCUUGAAAGUGAUCGAUUCUUUUCUUUUUUCUUUUUGGUUUUUUGGGUUAAUUCAGAUAGUGUAGUUUGAGUUCGGACAAUGUGGUUUAGUAUUUUGUUAAAUAUAAUUCAUAAGAAGGUUCUGUUUUCAUCAUUUUCAGCAAGAGCAAUUCAUAAGGAGGUUCUUGGUUUUGGGUGUUCCGCACUCCUGACAUUUCAAGGUCUUCCCCUUUUUCCAGGAAAAUAGAGCCAGUCAAGAUUUCAAAGUCUUGCUCCUCAACUGCGAGGAAUUUGCACACUGGAUUCUAAGAAAAACUCUAUAAAUUCAAAGGAUUCACCAAGUCUUAACCACACAAGCUUUUUACUUUCUCUUUUCUCUUCCCCAAGCAUUGUUUUAUAUUGAUUUGUUCUGUCAUGCAGAGGUUUAGAAACAUCAACCUGUACCGUCUUUCCUGUAACACUUCUCUACCAUCAUCUUCUAAAUUCCUUCGUCUUCCAAGGAGGACAUGUCUCUGUACUGUAUCUUCCUGGCUUGGCUUUUCAACAGGUAUGAACGCAAGUUUUUGUUGUAUUUGGUGUUGGCUUGCAUCAGAUUUUUUCGGUCAUUUCAGUGGGAAAAUUGGCAUUCUGCAUAUGGUGUGGUGAAAUUAUUGUCAAAAAAAAAGAAUUGAAAAUAUGUUUUUGUUUUGCACAUGGAAAAGGUAUGGGAACUCGCAUAAUUUGUUCUCCCUUGAAUGUUUGAGAUCAGAAAACCUAUAGGCUAUAGCCCAAAUCUUCUUUUAUUCUUGUGCUCUUCUAUUCUCGCUACAACUCUCUCGAAUUUGAUUUUGUUCAAGAUAAAAAGGCUAAUGGGAAUGGAUUGAUGGGUUAAAUGCAGGCAUACUUCUUCUGGCCUUCCAAUUGCUCUCCAUGACCAGGAGUUGCAGUGACAGUAGUUCAUUCUUGAUCAAGAAUUUUUCUGCUUCAACAGCAUCAUUGACUGUUAAGGCAUGGAUGGAACCUGAAAGUAAAGCUAAGCAGAUUGGAUUACUCAAUGCAACAGAGGAUUUAUAUGAUGGAGUUACUGUAGAUAUGAAAGAGCCUAUGGACUCUAAAGUUUUUAUUUCUUUACUUAGAGCUUCUAUAUCAAAAUGGAGGCAACAGGGGAAGAAGGGUGUUUGGAUCAUUUUACCCAUUGAACUUUCUAGUCUUGUAGAACCUGUGGUUCAGGAAGGAUUCAGGUAUCAUCAUGCUGAAUCGGACUACUUGAUGCUCGUAUAUUGGAUACCCAGUACUCCUGAUACUCUUCCAGAAAAUGCCUCGCACAGAGUGGGAAUUGGGGCUUUCGUAAUGAAUAGUCAUAAAGAGGUAGUGAAAGGUUAUCAUCACUGCAGUCUGAGAUAUUUUUUAAAAUGUUUUGUGAGGUAUAGUAUGAUGCUAGAGAAUCAGUGCUGUCACCACUGUUUCGUGUUUUCGCAAUUUAGAGACCAGUACCCUUUUUUUGCUGUACAAGGGUUAGAUACUUGGAUUGAAUGAUAGACACCUUAUUAUUUUAUUUGUCGAUGUGAUUUUAUAGAUUCCUGCAUGCAAUGUUUGCUAAUAUGCUGCAAUAAGAGAUGAAAUUACCACUACAAUAUAGUAGUUCCUCUAACUUCUUGUUUUGAAGUUAAAUUCUUUUAUUUCUUAGGUACUGGUAGUUAAGGAGAAGAAUGGUGGAUUUAGAGGUACAGACGUAUGGAAAUUACCCACUGGAGUAGUUAAUAAGGUGGGUGCGUUGAUAUGAUGAAAUAUGGUGAUAUCUUCUAUGAAACUUUUCUUAUCAUGAUUUCAAGUGUUCCAUCCACAGGGUGAGGAUAUUUGUACAGCAGCAGUCAGAGAAGUUAAAGAAGAGACAGGUGUGAGUAUAAAUUCAUAGUUCAUAAACUUAGAAAUGGAAAUGAGAAGGUAAAUAUUCUAAAUUCUUACAUGCCUGCCAAGUAAAAUUAAGAUAUUUUGCUUUUAUCUUGUAUCAGAUUGAAACAGAAUUUGGGGAAGUUUUAGCAUUCAGGUAAGAGCUUCGCUUUACAUUAAAAAAAAAAAAGAUUAAUUUAUGUUAAUUAGUCCUUCAUGCAUCCAUCUUUAGAUGCUUGUGUCUUCAUGUUAUAGGCAUACUUGUAGCAUUCUAAGAAUUCAUUUGCAGCGUGUUUCAUCUGUCAUCGGUGUCAUGUUUUUUUUUAACUCUGCUCUUUGUAUUCCAUUUAAAAUUCUCGUCCAUUCAUAAUCACUUCUAUUAUUUGUAAACAGGCAAAGCCACCGAUCAUUCUUUCGCAAAUCAGAUUUAUUUUUCAUUUGCAUGUUACGACCACGCUCCUUCAACAUUCAAAAGCAAGAUUCAGAGGUUGAGGCAGCCCAGGUAGCAUUUCUGAAUAAAUCACUUGCUGAUCAUAAUACUGCAUUAGUCCUUGACAGAUGAAAAAAAUUAUUAUUUCAUUUACUACUACAAUUCCCUACUUUUUUUGCUGUAAUUUUUGAAUAAUAUUUCUUUUAGUUUAGAUUGAAUCCUUCAUCACAAUCAAAUAAAAAUUAGGACUCUUUAUGUUGUAUGAUUGUAAUGUUGGAAGAGUUUGAUAAAUUUGGAGAGAGUGUUGACAUAUUAAAUAUUAAUUUAUUUAAUAUGGGUCUAUAUAAGUUAUUAAAUUGUUUUACACAUCAAAUUGACUAGCCAUUCAAUAUUGCAACCAAACCACUCAUAUUCACCCUUUCAUUUUUGUCUACUUCUGGUGUGGGACGUGAUUCCCAAAAGAAAGAUCAUUAUAUAAUUUGUUUAUUUCUUAUCUUUGUUUUGCUUAGUGGAUGCCAAUUGAGGACUAUGUGAAUCAACCAUAUAACAAAGAACACCAGCUCUUCCAGUACGUAGCAGAAAUAUGCAAAACAAAGUCAGAAGGGAACUAUGUUGGGUUUUCUGCAUUUCCUACAGUCACAGCUUCUGGUAAAAAGACUUACUUGUACUUCAAUAACGGGGAUCUCAGCAAACUUUAAGACCCUUAUCGUAGAAUUUUGCGAGUCUGCUAUGGAGUGUGUUGGUUGAGAUGCUGAAAAGUCAUAUAUAUAUAUAUAUAUUGUUUGCUAUUAUUGUUCAAAUGAUAAAUUACCUGUAAGAACAUGGUUUAAUGUCUGAUUGAGAAACUUUUUUUUUUAAGUGUUAAAAUCGAUACAUUAUAACUAGUUUUGACUUCAUAUACUCGAACACAUAUUUCUCCAGUAUUUAUAUGUGAAUUUUAUGAAGUUUG